RNAcentral lists this non-coding RNA (107 nucleotides) under bovine gut metagenome. The record is from RNAcentral.
CGCAGGGGUGCUGACGGCUGAGACGACCGACGGGACGCGGAUGAUCCGCGCCACGGAGGUCGAACCCUUCACCUGAUCCGGGUAAUACCGGCGUAGGGAGCUAUAAA